CAGCAGCCGCGGUAAUACGGAGGGAGCUAGCGUUGUUCGGAAUUACUGGGCGUAAAGCGCGCGUUGGCGGUUACUCAAGUCAGAGGUGAAAGCCCGGGGCUCAACCCCGGAACUGCCUUUGAAACUAGGUGACUAGAAUCUUGGAGAGGUCAGUGGAAUUCCGAGUGUAGAGGUGAAAUUCGUAGAUAUUCGGAAGAACACCAGUGGCGAAGGCGACUGACUGGACAAGUAUUGACGCUGAGGUGCGAAAGCAUGGGGAGCAAACAGGAUUAGAUACCCCCGUAGUCCCUGUCUCUUAUAC
Molecule: ribosomal RNA, 301 nt
Filed under: uncultured bacterium
Lineage: Bacteria
Description: partial 16S ribosomal RNA
Rfam family: Bacterial small subunit ribosomal RNA
Source: RNAcentral